Molecule: long non-coding RNA, 514 nt
Organism: Spea bombifrons (plains spadefoot toad)
Lineage: Eukaryota; Metazoa; Chordata; Amphibia; Anura; Pelobatidae
Exons: 2
Source: RefSeq, a predicted model, not a curated record
CAGGCAGGGCUGGUUAUCCCCGGACACGUGAUUAAUGUGAUCUGGCGAUCCUCGGCGGGGUGGAGGUUUCAGCGCUGUGUACUUAAGGUCGUGUGCUCGGAGUGCCUUGGCUCCGCCUCCUUCUUUUCGCAAUGUUGACGCAAUGUAUAAAUAGUGGAACAAAAGAACAACUUCCUAGAAGCUCGCAGAUAACUGCACACACACGGCGGCGGGCGCCCGAUCACUCGGCGGAUGGGGGGGUUCUGGGCUCUGGACACAUGGCUUCUUCUGCUUUUAAUAUGAAUGCACAUCUCCGGACCUGGGCUUCCCUCUGCGCUCCAUUGACAGGUCAGGCCAGUUCCAGGAAGUGAUGUUAUUAUCAUCAGUGCAGCUUUCAAAACAAAGGAGAAAUAGCUGGGGUGUCAUUACUCAUCAACACAUCACCAGAUUGAUUUCAAAACCAGGUAAAUCACAGGAACUGUCAUAGGCGGGAGUGAGAAUGCAACAAAGAAUGUUUCAAGUGUCUGACACAGUA